CAAAAGCGUAUAUUAAAGUUGUUGCAGUUAAAAAGCUCGUAGUUGAACCUUGGGCUUGGCUGGCCGGUCCAUCUUUUUUGAUGCGUACUGGACCCAGCCGAGCCUUUCCUUCUGGCUAGCCUUUUGGCGAACCAGGACUUUUACUUUGAAAAAAUUAGAGUGUUCAAAGCAGGCCUUUGCUCGAAUAUAUUAGCAUGGAAUAAUAGAAUAGGACGUUAUGGUUCUAUUUUGUUGGUUUCUAGGACCAUCGCAAUGAUUAAUAGGGACGGUCGGGGGUAUCAGUAUUCAGUUGUCAGAGGUGAAAUUCUUGGAUUUACUGAAGACUAACUACUGCGAAAGCAUUUACCAAGGACGUUUUCAUUAA
Molecule: ribosomal RNA, 364 nt
Filed under: uncultured eukaryote
Lineage: Eukaryota
Description: partial 18S ribosomal RNA
Rfam family: Eukaryotic small subunit ribosomal RNA
Source: RNAcentral